This 253-nucleotide ribosomal RNA is filed under the name uncultured bacterium. Its description in RNAcentral is "partial 16S ribosomal RNA". It matches the Rfam family "Bacterial small subunit ribosomal RNA", at positions 524 to 776 of the family's 1533-position model. The record is from RNAcentral.
UACGGAGGGUGCAAGCGUUAUCCGGAUUCACUGGGUUUAAAGGGCGCGUAGGCGGCCCGCUAAGUCGAACGUGAAAUCCCUGGGCUCAACCCAGGAACUGCGUCCGAUACUGGCAGGCUUGAAUCCGGGAGAGGGAUGCGGAAUUCCAGGUGUAGCGGUGAAAUGCGUGGAUAUCUGGAGGAACACCGGUGGCGAAGGCGGCAUCCUGGACCGGCAUUGACGCUGAGGCGCGAAAGCCAGGGGAGCAAACGGG